RNAcentral lists this non-coding RNA (240 nucleotides) under Porphyromonas sp. Lineage: Bacteria; Pseudomonadati; Bacteroidota; Bacteroidia; Bacteroidales; Porphyromonadaceae. The record is from RNAcentral.
UACCUUUGCCUGUGAAGAGGUGAUUGAAGCGCAUUACCUAUGUGCUUUGAUUGAAAAGGGAACUCAGUGAGAAUCUGGGACUGGACCCUCAGCUGUAUAUUCUGUAGACAGCUUUGCCAUCUCGUAAUGUCACUGUAGGUCGUUACUCCGAACUGGGAGAAAAUCUAUGGGAAGACUGCAAAGCAAGAGCCAAUAGGCGACAGGAUGAGUCAGAAGACCUGCCUUUUCGUUGAUAGUUUU